This 711-nucleotide ribosomal RNA is filed under the name Streptomyces sp. KLBMP 1504. RNAcentral describes it as "bacterial SSU rRNA". It matches the Rfam family "Bacterial small subunit ribosomal RNA", at positions 87 to 811 of the family's 1533-position model. Lineage: Bacteria; Bacillati; Actinomycetota; Actinomycetes; Kitasatosporales; Streptomycetaceae. The record is from RNAcentral.
GGGGAUUAGUGGCGAACGGGUGAGUAACACGUGGGCAAUCUGCCCUGCACUCUGGGACAAGCCCUGGAAACGGGGUCUAAUACCGGAUAUGACACGGGAUCGCAUGGUCUCCGUGUGGAAAGCUCCGGCGGUGCAGGAUGAGCCCGCGGCCUAUCAGCUUGUUGGUGGGGUGAUGGCCUACCAAGGCGACGACGGGUAGCCGGCCUGAGAGGGCGACCGGCCACACUGGGACUGAGACACGGCCCAGACUCCUACGGGAGGCAGCAGUGGGGAAUAUUGCACAAUGGGCGCAAGCCUGAUGCAGCGACGCCGCGUGAGGGAUGACGGCCUUCGGGUUGUAAACCUCUUUCAGCAGGGAAGAAGCGCAAGUGACGGUACCUGCAGAAGAAGCACCGGCUAACUACGUGCCAGCAGCCGCGGUAAUACGUAGGGUGCGAGCGUUGUCCGGAAUUAUUGGGCGUAAAGAGCUCGUAGGCGGCCUGUCGCGUCGGAUGUGAAAGCCCGGGGCUUAACCCCGGGUCUGCAUUCGAUACGGGCAGGCUAGAGUUCGGUAGGGGAGAUCGGAAUUCCUGGUGUAGCGGUGAAAUGCGCAGAUAUCAGGAGGAACACCGGUGGCGAAGGCGGAUCUCUGGGCCGAUACUGACGCUGAGGAGCGAAAGCGUGGGGAGCGAACAGGAUUAGAUACCCUGGUAGUCCACGCCGUAAACGUUG